Molecule: ribosomal RNA, 434 nt
Filed under: uncultured Clostridium sp.
Lineage: Bacteria; Bacillati; Bacillota; Clostridia; Eubacteriales; Clostridiaceae
Description: partial 16S ribosomal RNA
Rfam family: Bacterial small subunit ribosomal RNA
Source: RNAcentral
ACGGGAGGCAGCAGUGGGGAAUAUUGCACAAUGGGCGAAAGCCUGAUGCAGCGACGCCGCGUGAGUGAAGAAGUAUUUCGGUAUGUAAAGCUCUAUCAGCAGGGAAGAAAAUGACGGUACCUGACUAAGAAGCCCCGGCUAACUACGUGCCAGCAGCCGCGGUAAUACGUAGGGGGCAAGCGUUAUCCGGAUUUACUGGGUGUAAAGGGAGCGUAGACGGCUUUGCAAGUCUGAAGUGAAAGCUCGGGGCUCAACUCCGGAACUGCUUUGGAAACUGUAGAGCUAGAGUGCAGGAGAGGUAAGUGGAAUUCCUAGUGUAGCGGUGAAAUGCGUAGAUAUUAGGAGGAACACCAGUGGCGAAGGCGGCUUACUGGACGGUAACUGACGUUGAGGCUCGAAAGCGUGGGGAGCAAACAGGAUUAGAUACCCUGGUA